CCUACGGGUGGCAGCAGUGAGGAAUAUUGGUCAAUGGGCGUAAGCCUGAACCAGCCAAGUCGCGUGAGGGAUGAAGGUUCUAUGGAUCGUAAACCUCUUUUAUAAGGGAAUAAAGUGCGGGACGUGUCCCGUUUUGUAUGUACCUUAUGAAUAAGGAUCGGCUAACUCCGUGCCAGCAGCCGCGGUAAUACGGAGGAUCCGAGCGUUAUCCGGAUUUAUUGGGUUUAAAGGGUGCGUAGGCGGCCUUUUAAGUCAGCGGGGAAAGUCUGUGGCGCAACCAUAGAAUUGCCGUUGAAACUGGGAGGCUUGAGUAUGUUUGAGGCAGGCGGAAUGCGUGGUGUAGCGGUGAAAUGCUUAGAUAUCACGCAGAACCCCGAUUGCGAAGGCAGCCUGCCAGGCCAUGACUGACGCUGAUGCACGAAAGCGUGGGGAUCAAACAGGAUUAGAUACCCUGGUAGUC
Molecule: ribosomal RNA, 460 nt
Filed under: uncultured bacterium
Lineage: Bacteria
Description: partial 16S ribosomal RNA
Rfam family: Bacterial small subunit ribosomal RNA
Source: RNAcentral